GAAGUAGAGAAGCAUGGUGUCAUAACCCUGUAGCCUGGGCAGUCAGGAGUCCAAGUCAGGAGGACUCAUGAGAGGUAUUUAAGACAGGAAUGGAUUCAAUAUGAGGUAUUCAUUCUCCAGCAACACUGAGGAGAGGUUGCAGUCUGAGGCUUGGUGAGAGCUCUUGGAGACAGGAUCAGCCCAUUCAGCCUGAAGUAGAGCACCUUAAAAGAAAAACAAAUGAACCAGAUUAACGUGCCAUUGUGGAACGAUGCAUUUGCUAAUGCCCACCAGAUGAAGCCUAAAUGGACACCAUUUCUGAGGAAGACAAGCUUCAGCAAGCUAAAAUCCAUGAGAAAACAGGGUCUCACUGUAUAGCUCUGGCUCAACUGGAACUCAUUCUGUAGACCACGAUAGCCUCAAAGACACGGGGAUCCUGCCUUUAGGGUACUGUGAUUAAAAGUCUG
This 446-nucleotide long non-coding RNA is filed under the name Cricetulus griseus (Chinese hamster). RNAcentral describes it as "lncRNA (ENSCGRG00015041621.1)". The record is from RNAcentral. Lineage: Eukaryota; Metazoa; Chordata; Mammalia; Rodentia; Cricetidae.